Molecule: ribosomal RNA, 253 nt
Filed under: uncultured bacterium
Lineage: Bacteria
Description: partial 16S ribosomal RNA
Rfam family: Bacterial small subunit ribosomal RNA
Source: RNAcentral
UACAGAGGUCUCAAGCGUUGUUCGGAUUCAUUGGGCGUAAAGGGUGCGUAGGUGGCGCCGUAAGUCAGGUGUGAAAUUUCGGAGCUUAACUCCGAAACUGCAUUUGAUACUGCGGUGCUUGAGGACUGGAGAGGAGACUGGAAUUCACGGUGUAGCAGUGAAAUGCGUAGAUAUCGAGAGGAACACCAGUGGCGAAGGCGAGUCUCUGGACAUUUCCUAACGCUGAGGCACGAAAGCCAGGGGAGCAAACGGG